RNAcentral lists this long non-coding RNA (278 nucleotides) under Elaeis guineensis (African oil palm). Its description in RNAcentral is "long non-coding RNA (EGUI_LNC047535)". Lineage: Eukaryota; Viridiplantae; Streptophyta; Magnoliopsida; Arecales; Arecaceae. The record is from RNAcentral.
UAAGUGUCCCUUAGACCUGAGAUCACCUCAGUGACUUGCAAGCAACUCACUGUGCUUUGGUACUGGACUAACUGAAUUUCUAAUUCAGUGAUGGAAGGCCUCUGGGCACAGUCAAGUACUUGCAAAGUCGAAGUGUGAUCAAGAUGGGAUUGACCACUCCAAGAGUUGGAGAAGAAUGAGUCGCUGUAUUUCAAUUUAGCAAAACCUUGGCUAGGGUAAUCCAUCAAAUGGAUUUGAUAUUUUAAAAUAUAAUAUGGACAACUUGAUUAGAGUUGACA